GUUUCCACCCGCAACAGCUGAACUUGCUCAUCAACACUGCUACAAAUACAUUAACGUCAGUUAUGCAUAAUCCAUGCCAUUCCUGUCGAUUGUGCAACAGUUGAGCGCCUGCAGCUUUUUGAAACUUCCAAAAAGAAGAGGUAAUAUUUUUAUUCAGUAAAAGCUACGUGGCAAUGUCAGGUCUAUGCUCUUUCCUAAAGUAUGGAUUCAUUUCUUUGUGCGGUGGAGCCAUUAUUGUACUCCUGUGCGUAGGAAUCAAGACCGCAUAUCAACCACUUUUUAAUCCAGAGAAGGUUUAUAAGAAAUAUGUCCACCUGACUGGCAGCACCGCACAGG
This is a long non-coding RNA of Lingula anatina, 336 nucleotides long. The record is from RefSeq and is a predicted model, not a curated record. Lineage: Eukaryota; Metazoa; Brachiopoda; Lingulata; Lingulida; Lingulidae.